Molecule: ribosomal RNA, 464 nt
Filed under: uncultured bacterium
Lineage: Bacteria
Description: partial 16S ribosomal RNA
Rfam family: Bacterial small subunit ribosomal RNA
Source: RNAcentral
ACGAACGCUGGCGGCGUGCUUCACACAUGCAAGUCGAACGGAAAGGCCCUGCUUGCAGGGUACUCGAGUGGCGAACGGGUGAGUAACACGUGGGUGAUCUGCCCUGCACUUCGGGAUAAGCCUGGGAAACUGGGUCUAAUACCGGAUAGGAGCCAUUUUUAGUGUGAUGGUUGGAAAGUUUUUUCGGUGUAGGAUGAGCUCGCGGCCUAUCAGCUUGUUGGUGGGGUAAUGGCCUACCAAGGCGGCGACGGGUAGCCGGCCUGAGAGGGUGGACGGCCACAUUGGGACUGAGAGACGGCCCAGACUCCUACGGGAGGCAGCAGUGGGGAAUAUUGCACAAUGGGCGCAAGCCUGAUGCAGCGACGCCGCGUGGGGGAGGACGGCCUUCGGGUUGUAAACUCCUUUCGCUAGGGACGAAGCUUUUUGUGACGGUACCUAGAGAAGAAGCACCGGCUAACUACGUG